Long non-coding RNA from Sander lucioperca (pikeperch), 259 nucleotides. RefSeq lists it as uncharacterized. The record is from RefSeq and is a predicted model, not a curated record. The transcript is spliced from 2 exons. NCBI's taxonomy places the organism in Eukaryota, Metazoa, Chordata, Actinopteri, Perciformes, Percidae.
CUUAAGGGGCUCCGUAGAGAAAAAAACCUUGAUAAGCUGAGUUCACUCCACUAGCUAGCUAUGGUGGCUGUGUGGAUCUGACGUUGUCAGAGACGCAUAUGAAUGUAUAGUAAAUUGUCUUGCUCCCACAACAAUGCAGGCUAAUUAAGACUGGCGGUGGUAACGGCGUCAGCUCACCUGUCAUUCUGCACCCGGAGUUUCAUGGUAAGCUAUCGGUCCCCAUCUAAUACAAUGUCCAAGUCGCCAGACGAAACAAAAC